RNAcentral lists this ribosomal RNA (664 nucleotides) under Arthrobacter woluwensis. RNAcentral's name for it is "bacterial SSU rRNA". It matches the Rfam family "Bacterial small subunit ribosomal RNA", at positions 114 to 791 of the family's 1533-position model. The record is from RNAcentral. Lineage: Bacteria; Bacillati; Actinomycetota; Actinomycetes; Micrococcales; Micrococcaceae.
CACGUGAGUAACCUGCCCUUGACUCUGGGAUAAGCCUGGGAAACUGGGUCUAAUACCGGAUACGACCAUUGCCCGCAUGGGUUGGUGGUGGAAAGCUUUUGUGGUUUUGGAUGGACUCGCGGCCUAUCAGCUUGUUGGUGAGGUAAUGGCUCACCAAGGCGACGACGGGUAGCCGGCCUGAGAGGGUGACCGGCCACACUGGGACUGAGACACGGCCCAGACUCCUACGGGAGGCAGCAGUGGGGAAUAUUGCACAAUGGGCGAAAGCCUGAUGCAGCGACGCCGCGUGAGGGAUGACGGCCUUCGGGUUGUAAACCUCUUUCAGUAGGGAAGAAGCGAAAGUGACGGUACCUGCAGAAGAAGCGCCGGCUAACUACGUGCCAGCAGCCGCGGUAAUACGUAGGGCGCAAGCGUUAUCCGGAAUUAUUGGGCGUAAAGAGCUCGUAGGCGGUUUGUCGCGUCUGCUGUGAAAGGCCAGGGCUCAACCCUGGUUCUGCAGUGGGUACGGGCAGACUUGAGUGAUGUAGGGGAGACUGGAAUUCCUGGUGUAGCGGUGAAAUGCGCAGAUAUCAGGAGGAACACCGAUGGCGAAGGCAGGUCUCUGGGCAUUAACUGACGCUGAGGAGCGAAAGCAUGGGGAGCGAACAGGAUUAGAUACCCUGGU